AAGAGUAGGCGUAGCGGUUGCGGAACAGUUCAAAGCAGCUGUUCUGAGGAAAGUCCGGACUCCCGAAAGACCAAACUUGCUGGGUAACGCCCAGUACGAGUGAUCGUGAGGAUAGUGCCACAGAAACAUACCGCCGAUGAAUGAGGAGCGAGGUACAAAUUAAACCCUAGCCCCUAGCCCCUCUUACAGGUAAGGGUGCAAAGGUGCGGUAAGAGCGCACCAGCAGCGUCGAGAGGCGCUGGCUCGGUAAACCCCAGUUGGGAGCAAGGUCGGAGGAACUAUGGUUGGUCUUUUACCAGUUCCGCUAUUGGAGAACCGCUAGAGGCGUCUGGUAACAGGCGUCCCAGAUAGAUAACCGCACUUCACUUUUGCCAAUGCGCAAGCGUGAAUAACAGAAUCCGGCUUAUGUCCUGCUCUUUCCC
RNAcentral lists this RNase P RNA (422 nucleotides) under Chroogloeocystis siderophila 5.2 s.c.1. RNAcentral's name for it is "RNase P RNA component class A". It matches the Rfam family "Bacterial RNase P class A". Rfam says of the family: Ribonuclease P (RNase P) is a ubiquitous endoribonuclease, found in archaea, bacteria and eukarya as well as chloroplasts and mitochondria. Its best characterised activity is the generation of mature 5'-ends of tRNAs by cleaving the 5'-leader elements of precursor-tRNAs. Cellular RNase Ps are ribonucleoproteins. Lineage: Bacteria; Bacillati; Cyanobacteriota; Cyanophyceae; Chroococcidiopsidales; Chroococcidiopsidaceae. The record is from RNAcentral.